Molecule: long non-coding RNA, 756 nt
Organism: Capsicum annuum
Lineage: Eukaryota; Viridiplantae; Streptophyta; Magnoliopsida; Solanales; Solanaceae
Exons: 2
Source: RefSeq, a predicted model, not a curated record
UUCAGUCCUCAUGUGCAUAAAUCAGCAAUCGCAAUUGCUGACUUUUCAAUCAUUUCAUGUUGUUUUUUUUUAAAGAUAAAGCUCAGAAAUUCUCCAAAUUGCAAAUAAAUUUAUAGCAAAUCAAAUAUAAUAAGUUGAACAAAUUCAUCAAAACCAAUUAACUUGUAGUCAAGUCAACCUUCAGUUUGCUAAUUAAGUGUGAAGUGAGAACACGCAGUUGUUCAAUUCGUUCAAAGCUUCAUCAUUUUCCCUUUACUAGUCUUGCACUAUAAAAUACCAUAUGUUAAUACUUUGUUCAUUCAUCAAAAAAUUAAUUUAAUUUCUAGCUUUCUUCUCAUCACACUAUCAUGAAGACCAUAAGUUCAACAUCUAUUUUCGCGAUUAUCCUUGUUUUCAUUGGGUUAAUCCUCUCUCCUGGAAUACAACAAGGUGUCGUUGCUCGUUCUAACGUGUAUAGAGAAGUACUUGUAAGGAGAUCAAUAUGUCCUGCUUGUGUGUGUUGCCAACCUCCACCACCAGGAUCUUGUUGCAGCUGCUGCGCUUCUCCUAUCAAUACUCAGUCCCACAAUGGUUCGCCUUAACCGACAUGCAGAGUCGGAUUCAGAAUUUAUAAUCCAGAAUAAAUUGUAAUUUUGAAAUUAGUAGUUCACACGUUGAAUAUGCUUUGGAUUAUUAUUUAUCGGAUGCAGUAACAUUCAUGCAAGAUAAUUAUAAACAUAAAUUAAAUACUUCCGUAUGUUUUUUCCCUUCUCAAAA